RNAcentral lists this ribosomal RNA (502 nucleotides) under uncultured bacterium. RNAcentral's name for it is "bacterial SSU rRNA". It matches the Rfam family "Bacterial small subunit ribosomal RNA", at positions 29 to 516 of the family's 1533-position model. The record is from RNAcentral.
AGUGAACGCUGGCGGCAGGCCUAAUACAUGCAAGUCGAACGGCAGCACGGCAGAGCUUGCUCUGUGGGUGGCGAGUGGCGGACGGGUGAGGAAUACAUGGGAAUCUGCCCAGUCGUGGGGGAUAACGUAGGGAAACUUACGCUAAUACCGCAUGCGCCCUUCGGGGGAAAGGCCGGGGACCGUUCGGGCCGUGGCGCGAUUGGAUGAGCCCAUGUCGGAUUAGCUAGUUGGCGGGGUAAUGGCCCACCAAGGCGACGAUCCGUAGCUGGUCUGAGAGGAUGAUCAGCCACACUGGAACUGAGACACGGUCCAGACUCCUACGGGAGGCAGCAGUAGGGAAUAUUGGACAAUGGGCGCAAGCCUGAUCCAGCCAUGCCGCGUGAGUGAAGAAGGCCCUCGGGUUGUAAAGCUCUUUUGUCCGGAAAGAAAAGCGCCGGGUUAAUACCCUGGUGUCCUGACGGUACCGGAAGAAUAAGCACCGGCUAACUUCGUGCCAGCAGCC